This is a long non-coding RNA of Colius striatus (speckled mousebird), 2407 nucleotides long. RefSeq lists it as uncharacterized. The record is from RefSeq and is a predicted model, not a curated record. Lineage: Eukaryota; Metazoa; Chordata; Aves; Coliiformes; Coliidae. The transcript is spliced from 4 exons.
UCAGAGUUUAUGUCAGCAGAGCAGCAAGGACAGCUAAGGUUGCUAAUAACAAACCAGUGUCUAACCCAGCCUGAGGUGUAUCAGACAGAGUAACAGAAAAUAACUGAAAUUUAUAUCCUCCUUUGUUACCUUUGCAAGUCAGGAUGAGGCUCGGAGCUUUACACCCGGAGUUCACUUUCGCUGCUGGUUUGCAUUCAGGACACAGAGAGAAGAUUUAAAGGGGCUUGGAAGAGAAGGCUGCUGGGCUGCAAGUGCUGUGCAAAGAACUCCUGUGCUCUCAGCCAGCACACACCCUCCACCAGACUUCCACCAGCUGUAGUUCCACUGUGGCUACUGAACAAGUUCAGAAAAACUGAUGGAACUUGACAUGGUCACCAGAGAAAGCUUGGUAGACAUGGUGCUGGAAGGAUGACCACAUCAUCCUGUACUGGGGAGACCACUUGCACCUUUUUAUGAUGCUGCUGCAACUUCUCAGCGAGGCUGGAAUGCUGUUAUGACAGUGGCACUAUGCUUAUGUUGCAUUACUAAAAGCACACUUGGAAGCAUCUCAACGGGAACCAAAACAGAGCAGUUAAAAAAAAAGUCUCAGUCCAAUGCCAGGCCUUUGAGGAACACUGAGAUGCUUCAAAAGCAGAGAGCUCUGCAACCUCAAGCAUCAUGUUACUGAAUGAACAUCCAUGGAAAAGAAUGACUACAAGGCAGAAACAAGGGUCGAUGAAAUCUGCACAUCCACCAGAGCUGAAACUGCUGCUGGGCACGGCAGGCCUUGUGCCAUCUUCUGUUCUGUGUCUCCAUUUGCUCACUCUUUCUCCUCAUUUGCUUCUGAACCUUUAGUACAACAUCAGUCAUGUCUGAAAUGCCUCUAGGACAAGCCAUGAGGCUGGAUUCGGCCACUACUUCAGCAACAUUCAUCCCAGUUAUCACCUGGGGCUCCCCCCAGCUCCCAGUACUAUCUCAUCUUUCUAGAUAGAAUCUUCCUCCAGUUCCCCAAGAAACUCAGUCCUAGAUUUCUACCUUGCAUUUAUCCUGUCAAUCACUCACUGCAAGAACUGGCACUUCAUCAGCAUCUUCUUUGUGGAGAUAUUAGAAUGCUGCCAAUAGUUCAGUGGUAAUGACUAGUGUGGAUGAACAGCCUAUGCAAAUAAAACCCCUCCAUCAAGUCAGGAAUAAGGAAAUUAGCAAGGACUGGAGAUGCUACUGGAAAUGCCAAAGCAGCACCAUCAGUGAUGAGAUUCUGGGAAAUGCAACACUGAAGACAUUAAAACCUUGCUAUUAGCAGUCCUUACCCACUCUUUUCCCCUUCUCUCCAUUCUACGCCAACAUGAAGCAGUGGAAAAUGACUGGAAAGUUUCAGACAGGAGAAAGUGACCCAUGCCAAGAACUCCCAGAGGCAAGUCCAACUUCCUAAAAAUGACCAGGAAUUUAGUAGAAGCUACAGCCAGCUGCAGCCUGCUGACACGGAUUUCUUCUUCCUCCCUACCCUGGCAGGCAAGAACUACAACCCAGCUUUCACAAGUUUUUGAUGGCCCAUCCAAGAGCUGACUAUUUAAAUUCCUGGCAAACACUUUUGCUUUUCAGAGCCUACAAGCUCUGACCUUGUGCAGAUAAAGGAAGAUGGCAACACAACCUCCACAGGGACCCUGACAGCCCUUCCUCCCUUCCCAUUCCAAAAGCUUUGCUUUUAAGGCCUCCCUUCCAACCACAGACAGCACUGUUCCAUCCUCCUUCCUUCCUUCCUGCAGACAUUCAUCCCUCUCUGCCUCCACAGUUGCUUCCUUUGGGUCUCUCAGAAAGGGUUACCAUCGCUUUAAAAAAUAAGACCAAGUUUUGCAAACAUUCCUUCCUUCUCCAUUCUUUCCAAGGAUGUGAAGCUAUUGUGCAUGAAUGAAGGACAUUAUUUGCACUUUCUGGUGCUACCCUAGAAGGCGAGGUUGCAAACGCUCACCACAACACACAGCUAUUUUAAUUUAAGUUCAAGAGCCCAGCUAUUGCAAUUUAUUAAGUUAAAGCUGCACAAACAUUUUUGGAACUGGCCAGCUGAAGUACCUUAUGGCCCCGACAGCAACGCUCACCGAAGCCUUUCCUUAACCACACUCAGAAUGUCCAAGUGAACAAAGUAUGAUAGAAGUUAUUAACAAUGCUAACAACAAACCACAGCACACAGCUGAAGAAAAACAUCAGCCAUAUCCAGGACCCCCUAUUUCAUGUCUUUGUUCUGAUGAGUUCAGAGCGUGAGCUAUCUGGGAUGCACGCUCUGGAUGGGGACAUUUUCAUCUUAGUCUGUAACUCACAGGGCAGCAUUUUCAGAAGCAUGUAAAAUACCAAUAAGAUAUUUAGCUAGAUAAUGCAUAUUUCUGUUCUACUGCAAAACUCGAGUUCUGCUUGACUCGGCAGCCUGCACAUGACU